CAACGCAUUUUCGUUGUAAUAAGAUUGGAAAAGCCUUUUAUUUUCAAAAGCAGUUUUCCAUAGGUUAAUGCUGCCCCAAAGUAGAGUUAGCUUUCUUAUGCUCUAGUGAGUUUCCCAUUACUGGCCUUGGUCAGGCUGGUCUUGAACUUGAACUCCUGACCUCAGGUGAUACACCCACCUCGGCCUCCCAAAGUGCUGGGAU
RNAcentral lists this long non-coding RNA (202 nucleotides) under Pan troglodytes (chimpanzee). Its description in RNAcentral is "long non-coding RNA NONPTRT017018". Lineage: Eukaryota; Metazoa; Chordata; Mammalia; Primates; Hominidae. The record is from RNAcentral.